Molecule: ribosomal RNA, 844 nt
Filed under: Escherichia coli Nissle 1917
Lineage: Bacteria; Pseudomonadati; Pseudomonadota; Gammaproteobacteria; Enterobacterales; Enterobacteriaceae
Description: bacterial SSU rRNA
Rfam family: Bacterial small subunit ribosomal RNA
Source: RNAcentral
GCUUGCUCCACCGGAAAAAGAAGAGUGGCGAACGGGUGAGUAACACGUGGGUAACCUGCCCAUCAGAAGGGGAUAACACUUGGAAACAGGUGCUAAUACCGUAUAACAAUCGAAACCGCAUGGUUUUGAUUUGAAAGGCGCUUUCGGGUGUCGCUGAUGGAUGGACCCGCGGUGCAUUAGCUAGUUGGUGAGGUAACGGCUCACCAAGGCCACGAUGCAUAGCCGACCUGAGAGGGUGAUCGGCCACAUUGGGACUGAGACACGGCCCAAACUCCUACGGGAGGCAGCAGUAGGGAAUCUUCGGCAAUGGACGAAAGUCUGACCGAGCAACGCCGCGUGAGUGAAGAAGGUUUUCGGAUCGUAAAACUCUGUUGUUAGAGAAGAACAAGGAUGAGAGUAACUGUUCAUCCCUUGACGGUAUCUAACCAGAAAGCCACGGCUAACUACGUGCCAGCAGCCGCGGUAAUACGUAGGUGGCAAGCGUUGUCCGGAUUUAUUGGGCGUAAAGCGAGCGCAGGCGGUUUCUUAAGUCUGAUGUGAAAGCCCCCGGCUCAACCGGGGAGGGUCAUUGGAAACUGGGAGACUUGAGUGCAGAAGAGGAGAGUGGAAUUCCAUGUGUAGCGGUGAAAUGCGUAGAUAUAUGGAGGAACACCAGUGGCGAAGGCGGCUCUCUGGUCUGUAACUGACGCUGAGGCUCGAAAGCGUGGGGAGCAAACAGGAUUAGAUACCCUGGUAGUCCACGCCGUAAACGAUGAGUGCUAAGUGUUGGAGGGUUUCCGCCCUUCAGUGCUGCAGCUAACGCAUUAAGCACUCCGCCUGGGGAGUACGACCGCAAGGUUGAAAC